This is a long non-coding RNA of Chroicocephalus ridibundus (black-headed gull), 2667 nucleotides long. RefSeq lists it as uncharacterized. The record is from RefSeq and is a predicted model, not a curated record. The transcript is spliced from 7 exons. Lineage: Eukaryota; Metazoa; Chordata; Aves; Charadriiformes; Laridae.
GUAUGGUUAUAUAUUUCCACUAACUUACCUGAAAAAAAGCUGUUUGAGACUGUUCAGAAAAUAUUAUAGUUCGUAACAGUGAUGCCUAAGAGGUAGGCUUCAAAAAAGUGAAAAACAUAGAUGUAAGCAGCAUAAACACAGCUGCUUAUUAAAGGUCAAAAAAGCAAAUAUCCCUUAAACGGUUAAAAAAAAAUAAAAAUAAAAUCUUAUGUUCAUAUACACAUUACAACCAGAAUACAUACACAGAAUGCUCUGUAGAACGAGGGACGUUGAUUACUUGUCCAUGUCACGAUGCAUGCUGUUAAUAUUGAGUGUGUGCACAAACCUUUAAUGCCAGACUUCACAGAUCUCACUGCGGUCAGGAACAAAGCCAAAGCUGUAAAUGUAACACCCGAUUUUCAGGAGGGAUGGGAAUGUGGAAAAGGGUUUGGGAAAUUCUCCUACGAGGAUGCCUUUGAAUCUCUCCAGAGAACAUUUUCUAUAGCCUCCAGGCACUGGGAUGUGGCACAAGGGCAAUUCCUUCAUCUCCAGGUCAAUCCAGUGCAGCCAAGGCUGCUAAGCCCAUCCCUUUCCUUCAGACAUACAUGGGAGGAAACUCCCCCUUCUGCCACUGGACUAUACAAGAGAGGAGAGGGAAAGGGAAGAAAGAAAAAAAAAAAAAAAAAAAAAAAAAAAGCACCGUCUUCUAUCCACCAUUUUAGAGAGAGAAAAGGAAUUCAUCAGCUGCUCUCCUAUCUGACAUCCAAAUGGAAAAGGGCAAGAGACCAGGCUGUUUCCUUGCUGCAUUAGACAUGAGAGGAAGCAGGAUAGGAAGAGGGCAGGAAGCAGCCAACAAAAGACAGGCAUGGCUGCUUUCCCCGCUGCAGCAUGAAGAGAGGCUGGACAUGGAACGUCAUACAAACCUGAACAGAUGACAAGAAAACACUGCUAGCUGCCAACUACCUUCUCUCUCUUUAUUUAUCACGAUUGGUGCUUGUUUCUUGUCAGGAAGGCUCAAGGCACCAUCCUAGAACUGAUUGGCAUGUUGGGAGGACGUAAACUGAAAUACAGGCCCGACAGACAGACUGGCAUUUUUGGGGCUCAACAGAGGAAACAGACACAGGGCUACUCUUCCUGGUUAAGGAAAGAGCAUUGGUCCACAGCCUGCCUUUUCUUGGCACUGCCUGCCCAUUCCCAGGAUUGCUCACCCUUCCUGUAAGCAGUUUUGCCAGGUGGUUGCCAGUGAUGUUACAGAGAGAAGCAGCCAGGGCGGGAGGGAGCGUGAGCUUUCCAGGGGAACACGUGGCAGCGGGGAUCUGCUGCAGCGUGUUCAUUCCUUCAACUCCCCGCCUUUCUUCAAGAAACAACGUGAAGCUCUUCAAAUCCUUCUGGCAGGAUCAGUUCCUUGGGCUGUUCUAAGGGGGCGAGAAUAUGCCAGGAGUCUCAACUGGAGCACCUCUGAACUGGAUUGGACAAUCUUGAUGACUCAAGUUGCUUAGAGAGAACAGUAAUUAUGUGUGUGUUGCUGGUUUUGCAUAUCUCGAUAAGCCUGUGCCAGACUCAUUCAGAUUUAGUAGCCUCAACAAGGACAAUCUGAGCUCAGGUUACCUAUAAAAAUGAUGUGGGUCCCAACUACCUGAUUUCAGAGGGCAUGCUUGUGUUUCUAAAUAAAAAAAAAAGUCCCCGAGGCCAAGGCUCGGCUUGUAUUCACACUAACUGGAGCUAGUUCCCUCAGGAGCAGACUCCUGUAUUUGGAUCCCACAGUUCUCAUUGGACCCUUCCCGGUGCCCAACAUGUAAUUCUAAUUUUUUGUGUAUCUUUUUCAGUUUGAAGUAUCUGAAAUUAUGUGAAACUGCACUGCAGCCCGUGAGAAUGGUGCUUUCCUAGCAUGAGGGUGUGGAAAGACUAGUUGGCAACGUUUCUCGGUUUUAUUGGCCAUUCCAACCUCCUGUGGUGCCUCUAGGUGAUGAGCAGCUGUGUGAUACAUUGGUUAUCAUUUCUCACCUACAUCAUGACACCGAAUAAAGUGGUACUCCAGGCCAUAAACUUCUACUUCUCCAGGAGCCAUCCAUUGCACCGUUGCUGACCAAACACCCUCUUUGGCUCAUGCAGCUUCCACGCAGCUCCCGCCUUCUGACAUGCAGUGUCCUAACUGCUGUAGUUAAAUACAGUGGAGUUAAAGCUGUAGUUAAAUGCAGUGGGACUAACACUCUGUGUAAGUUGUAUUUAAAUUUUCAAAUAAUUCUGUGCAGAUUACCCAGUAAAUUAUCAUUUAUUGUGUUCAUUUUUCUAGAAGUACGUAGAGGUAACAGUUGGGAUCAUGAGCUCAUUAAGAGGUGCUACAAAGAUACAUAAAAUAAGUAACUACCUUAUUUCUCCUGUGACUACACAGUGAAUGAAACAAAAAAAAGUCAUGCUUGAGGAUUAUCUUUUAGCAUUGGAGGGUUGAUUACAUAAAAGGUGAGAUUAAAAUCCUAUACAUGAUUUAUUCAAAAUUACAAAUUAAAUGUGUGUGAAUGAAUCUCCACAGAAAACAAAGAGUUCCUAUAUAUAGACUACCUCCUAUUGCAGGCUAGCAGAAACAGCAACUAUGUUUUUAUCUUAAGUAUUUUACAUAUAUGCUUUCUUAAAUUAAAAAAAACCCCACAAAACAAAAAACAAAUUGUAAGACUGCUUUCAUUUACUCUG